This 29-nucleotide non-coding RNA is filed under the name Rattus norvegicus (Norway rat). Lineage: Eukaryota; Metazoa; Chordata; Mammalia; Rodentia; Muridae. The record is from RNAcentral.
UAACGAAUGCAGUUGUGUGCUCCACUAAA